AUGUCGUGUGUGUUCGGUAGAUUCAGUAUCUUUAUGUUAAUUUGUCUGUAUUACUACUCUGCCGUCACUAGUAUUGUAGAUGGUUCUCGCUGGUUUCGUGAUGUUUUCCUUUGCAUGCUAAUUAUACAAGGAUGGGUGCUAUCAAUCUGCUCCUUUGUGAAUCUAUACUGCAUGCUUAUGAAGAAAACCAUUUGCCUGUUUAACCUGCUCUUGUACGUACUAGGUAAAGAAAUUAAAUUAAUGACAAAUUAUGUAUUGUGUACAACAAUCCAGAAAACUCUAGACCGAUUUGUCAUGGAUGCUCAUGUUGCGGAACUGAUGAAACCUGAAAAGUUUGCCGGUGACAACUUCAAGAGAUGGCAGUCCAAGGUGCGUCACUACCUCCUGUCCAAGGGCCUGUGGUGGAUUAUCCCACAGGUUAGGCCGCUGACUCGUCAGCAGGUAAUGGACUUUGAGUUAGCAAACGACAUUGUUGUGGCUGUCAUCUUGUCGCUCCUUGAGAACCAGCUCUAUGAUGUAUACCAUGGGUCACCUCUGCAAUAG
RNAcentral lists this ribosomal RNA (543 nucleotides) under Triticum aestivum (bread wheat). RNAcentral describes it as "partial small subunit ribosomal RNA". Lineage: Eukaryota; Viridiplantae; Streptophyta; Magnoliopsida; Poales; Poaceae. The record is from RNAcentral.